CUCCACUUUUUACCCGAAUGGAUGAAUUUCUUUGUAGGACCCACUAGGACUAAACUAGAAGAGUUUUGCUCUAUGCUCCGGAUCCAGUCGUAGGGAAAAAAGACCCUUUUAUUUUUGGGGACUCCUACAAGGAGGAGCACAUCGUUCCCGAUGGAAGCUCAUGGAUGCCAUGGUGCUGGACACAUAGAUGUCCUCCCUGCAUGUUUUGAACAAAUAAGGUCAUGAAUGCAGUUUGCUGACAUUACUUUUGACACCUACUCUCCUGUAACGGAAGCACUAAGUUUUGUGGAGGAUUCCGAAGGUUGUGCUACGAAACACCUGCCUACAGCGCCUGGCGACCUGGCCGGAGGAAACAAGAUUAAAGGAGACACAGUUAAGAGUGAAGGAGGUUGUGAGUGCAUGAAAACUUCUGCUCAGGAGUGCUAGCUCUGACCUGGAGCCACGUAGACUUUCUUCUUCCUCCGGGAGGUCAGUUCUUCAAAGCGCCAACAGCUGAUCUCAUGUCUUCCUGGCUUCUUCUCCCCAAACUCCUUUCAAACCUUUGUGCAAUGACUCUGUGCUUUUUUCAGACCACCAAGCCCACGGGAGCAAGAGGUGAGCAAUCGUCCACGGCUGCUUGCUUUGGGCUCCCCGCUACGCCACGAGACAGCGCUAGAUGGCGCUAUAGUCAAGGCCCCAUAGGGUGCUCUAGGAAUUUGGGACUAUAGGACAUUGCCCACUCCUCCAGCACCAUCAUGCAUCAUCGUCCUGAUUUCCUCAGUGAUCACUGUAAGUCCAAAUGCAGCUCCUGGAAUGAUUCACAAUCACUCCAUUCUGCUCUGCGUGUGAUGAGGACGCCAGUGUUUCACGGUCCACUGCCCUGUCUUCUCUCGAGGACAGCAAAGCGGUUUUCCUUUGAAGAACCACUCCCCUACUUGCCAACGUGCUUCUUGUGGGUCCUGCCUACCACGGGUGCCACUUAGAGAUGGGUCCCCGCUGGCCGCAGUGGCCGACUCAGCGUGCAAGGUCACCAGGCCGGCGCUGAGGACCCUGGAGCCGCUGCAUCGGGGCUGCCGCCUGAGAUUCCCGCUGAACCGGGGACAGCGGGGCACGGUGAGCAAGGAGAGGCUCAGGGAGCACCACGUGGGUCCCAGGUCCCGUCAGGAUGGAAGCUGCCGCCCACGGGCCUCCCCGUAGUGCCAGCAAGCAAAUCCUCCUCUCUUCUGCAUAGUCCGGUUUGAGUUUGGGUUUUGACAUCUGGACCUGAGAAUUAUAAUAUAAUCCCUAAGCUGACCCUACCUCCUGCCCCAUCCUGGGGGCAUUUCAUCGCACCCCCUUGGAGCACUUUCUGGGUGACCACUGCUGUCACCAUCUUGCCUGAGACACACGGUCCACCUCCUUUAGAUGGGCAAAACCUGGUUCCCUGCGACCCUCAGAAGAGCAUUUCCGAUUCUGUGGCCCCCACCAGUACUGUUCCCGUCAUGAAUACACGGGGUUCUUAGCAUUUGCUUAGGAUCAUUUAUAAUAAUGAUAUAUACACUCUGGGCCAUUCCAUAGUAAUUAAAAUCAUGUUUUAGAAGAAUUCUUAAUGAUGUUGAAAUAAGUGAGAAAUACAUUUUCACAUGCAAAAUUAUCACAGAAAGAUGCAGAAGGAAGGGAAUUCUGUCAGCUCUCUUUAUCUGAAGGAGAAAAUUGCAUCUGUACAGAAUAUAUUCAAACUUUUUUCAUUCUCUUGUUCCUCCAACAGUAGAGUACGCUACCUGCAUAACACUGACCCUGUACCAGGUAUCCCAGUAGAUGACUUGAGGCACACAGGGGAUAGGCAUAGGAUAUAGCUGAAUACACACCAUUACAUAUAAGAGACUUGAACAUCUUCAGAUUUUAGGAUCUGUGUGUGUGUGUGUGUGUGUGUGUGUGUGUGUGUAUGUGGUUUCCUGGAAAAAAAGGAAACUGAGGGCCAGUUUUAUUUGAAAGGGUCAAAGUCAUUACUUUGGGGUGAUGGAAUGAUUAGUCAUUUUUCCAUUCUUUUAUUGUCUGUAUAUGAUAACAUUUUUAUAGUGAGAUUGUAUUACAAAUGCUAUAGGAAGCAAAC
Heterocephalus glaber (naked mole-rat) is the source of this 2071-nucleotide non-coding RNA. The record is from RefSeq and is a predicted model, not a curated record. NCBI's taxonomy places the organism in Eukaryota, Metazoa, Chordata, Mammalia, Rodentia, Bathyergidae.